CCUACGGGAGGCAGCAGUGAGGAAUAUUGGUCAAUGGACGAGAGUCUGAACCAGCCAAGUAGCGUGAAGGAUGACUGCCCUAUGGGUUGUAAACUUCUUUUAUAUGGGAAUAAAAUGUUCCACGUGUGGGAUUUUGUAUGUACCAUAUGAAUAAGGAUCGGCUAACUCCGUGCCAGCAGCCGCGGUAAUACGGAGGAUCCGAGCGUUAUCCGGAUUUAUUGGGUUUAAAGGGAGCGUAGGUGGCUUGUUAAGUCAGUUGUGAAAGUUUGCGGCUCAACCGUAAAAUUGCAGUUGAAACUGGCAGUCUUGAGUACAGUAGAGGUGGGCGGAAUGCGUGGUGUAGCGGUGAAAUGCUUAGAUAUCACGAAGAACUCCGAUUGCGAAGGCAGUUCACUGGACUGCAACUGACACUGAGGCUCGAAAGUGUGGGUAUCAAACAGGAUUAGAUACCCUAGUAGUC
RNAcentral lists this ribosomal RNA (460 nucleotides) under uncultured bacterium. RNAcentral describes it as "partial 16S ribosomal RNA". It matches the Rfam family "Bacterial small subunit ribosomal RNA", at positions 338 to 795 of the family's 1533-position model. The record is from RNAcentral.